This 6228-nucleotide long non-coding RNA is filed under the name Panax ginseng (ginseng). Its description in RNAcentral is "long non-coding RNA (PGIN_LNC011370)". The record is from RNAcentral. Lineage: Eukaryota; Viridiplantae; Streptophyta; Magnoliopsida; Apiales; Araliaceae.
AACUACUAGUUUGGCUAAGGAAUUUGAUUGCCAACUUUUGUAAAUUUGGAGCACUACUUCCAAACAACCUCCACCACUCAUCUAAAUACAAAUAAAUAACAAUGGCAUUAGAAAUCAAUGAAAUAAGCUACAAAGGAACAAAGUUAAAAAGAAUAAACAACAAUGACUAAAAUGGAACAAAGUCAAACAAAAAUUAAUAAAUAUAACUUGCCCAGUUAAGUAGUCUUCGAAGUAGCAAGUGUAAGCUCCCUACCAAAACUCCCCAUCCGCUCUCGAUAAAUUCUAGUUUCAUCCAACAACCUAACCUUAAUAUUGGUGGCUUUUGAUUCAAUGACAUCAAGAAGAGCCACCAUAACUUUUGGCUUCCCACAAAAUGAUUCUUGAUUAUAUUGAAAACAAUGAUUCAACCAAUAUGUGGCUGCGUGAACACUUUUACGCAAUUGCCAUCAUACAAAUAUGCAAUGGAGGGUCUCUCAUCCAUAUCAACAAUUCUCAAUAAAUGCAUCAAAGGCUCCACAAUUUUAGUUACAAUCAAACAAUCAUUCCAAAACAAUUUCUCCAAUAUGUAAGAAGCCACAACCUUGCCUUGUGCAUCCUUUGCAUAUUUAGACUCCUUAAAAUCCUUACCAGUCACCAAAGCCUGCAAAUCAUGCAUAUGAUCAUAAAUUACAAUGCAAUGAAAGUUGUGGCAAAACGAGUAGGCCCCUGACGAAUGAUUUCUAUCCAAUGUUUUCUCUUCCUCAACCAAUCCAAUCACCAACCAUGAGUAUAAAUGUACUUGGUUAUCUUCGAUGCCUUCUUAAGCUAAUUCAACAAUAUGAUUCAUCUUAGUUAUGUCCCCUAAAAUCAAGUUUAAACAAUGUGCAUCACAAGGAGACCGACUAAUGCUUUUGUAUUGUUGUGAAACUAAUUUCCUUGCAAGCACAUAAUUAGCCCUAUUAUCUGUUACCAUGUGAAAUACAUUAGUUGGUCCAACCCAUUUAAUUACUUCUACGAAUAAAUUAGCCAAAAGUUUGUCACUCUUUAAUGCAUCAGAAGCAUCAACAAAUUUAACAAAACAAAUUCCACGUGGACAAUAGACAAGAAAAUUAUUCAAAGAUCUAUGACUACCAUCUAUCCAAUCAUCUCCCAUAAUGGUACACUCACAUUCACCCCUAGAGACCUCAUGAUUUCUACAAAGAGUUGCACCUCUUUUUUCGAAUCUCUAAGCAAAUUGACUCGCACAUCAUGAUAAGAAGGGACCUAUAACCCAAACCGACUCUAAUGGAAGCAUCAAACAUAGGCUGAAAAUAUAUUGAAUUCAUGGCAAUAAAAGGAAUACCACAAUCAUAAAAUCAUCUAGCUACAACCAUAUUUGCCCUCCACACAGUUUCUUCACCAGUCAUAACACUUUUUAUAGUAGGUUGUUUCUCAGGUUGGCCUUUGAAGUAAAGAAGUUACUUGUUGGAGACUGAUAAAUACAAAGCUAGACUAGUAGCUAAAGGUUUUACACAAAAAGAAUGAAUUGAUUACUUUGAAACUUUUUCUCUAGUUACUAGAAUUACUACAAGUAGAACUUUGUUAGCUCUAGCAUCUAUACACAACUUUAGCGAUACAUCAAAUGAAUGUCAAAACCGAUUUUUUUAAUGGAGAUUUAGAAGAAGAGAUAUAUAUGGAGCAACUUGAAGGUUUUGAGGUUAAAGGACAAGAAUAUAAGGUGGACAAAUUAGUGAAAUCUUUGUAUGGUUUGAAACAAGCGCCUAAGCAAUGGCAUGAGAAGUUUGAUAAAAUUAUUCUAGAUUAUGGAUUUAAGAUUAAUGAGCAUGAUAAGUGUUUAUAUCAUAAGGAAGAUAAUGGACAUGUAAGCUAUGUACAUUUAUACGUGAAUGCUAUCUUAAUUUUUCAGACUAACCUACACAUUUUUAUCAAUGUAAAUGUCUCUCUCUAAGAAAGUUGAUAUAAAGAUUUAAGAGAGGCUCGUGUAAUUUUGGGAAUGAAAUUAAAAAGAACUAAUCAAGGGAUAACUUUGACUCAAUCAAAUACUAUAGAGAACAAGCUAAAGAAAUUUGGACAUUAUGAUGUUAAACCUGUGCAUAGUCCUUAUGAUUCAAGUACUCAUUUGAAGAAAAAAUUAACAGAGCCUGCAUCUCAAUUAAAAUAUUCUCAAGUCAUUGACUCUUUACUAUAGUUCUCAAAUAGAACAAGGCCAGACAAAGCAUACACAGUUGGAAGACUUGGUCCUCAUACUUAAAAUCCAAGUAAAGAACAUUGGAAUGUUUUAAAUAAAAUAAUCUCAAGUCAUUGGAUCUUUACUAUACUUCUCAAAUAAAACAAGGCCGGACAAAGCAUACGCAGCUGGAAGGCUUAGUCGUUAUACUCAAAAUCCAAGUAAAGAACAUUGGAAUGCUUUAAAUAGAGUUCUUUGUUAUCUUAGAGGUACACUUGAUUAUUCACUAUGUUAUCGAGGCUUUCCUAACGUAAUAGAAGGAUAUUGUGAUGCAAAUUGGAUUAUCGAUAGCUCAAAGGUCAAAGUGACUACUGGUUAUGUAUUUAUGUUAGGCAGGGCAGCUAUAUCUUGGGGUUCUAAAUAACAAACAAUUAUUUCUAGAACAUGUACGGAUGGUGAAUGGUUAAAAAACCUUAUGUUGGAACUUCCACUUGUAGAUAAGACUAUGCCAUCCAUAUCAAUACAUCAAUACAUUGUGAUUACAAAGCUGUGAUAGAUGUUUUGAGACAGUCUCAUUCAAACAAGAAGAUUAAAUGGAAUAUACAAAUAAGGUAUAAAUCAGUCAAAAGUUUGUUGAGCAGAAAUAUGAUCUCUUAAUUUUGUGAAAUCUGAGAAAAUUUUGGCUGAUAAUCUAACUAAAGGAAUGCCCAAGAAGGGUGUUUAUGAAUUAUCGAGGGGAAUGGGGUUAAGCCCAUAGGGACUAGGGAGUCACCAACAGGGGUAACCCAACCUUUUGAUUAGAGAUCCCAUGAAGAAGGUUCAAUGGGUAGAAACAACCUGGCGUGCGUGAACUAGUAAUAAAAGCACAAAUUUUAUAGGAGAGCAUCUCCUCCCCAUACCUAUGGUUAUAGUGCUUAUUUGUGUGAUAUAGGAAGGGUGUUACCCUAAAUGAGCCCAAGGCAAAUAUUUCUGCGAGAUGCAUUUCACAUGCUUCCUUGGAGGACUGACCUAAGUGAGAGCUGUCAUGAGGCCGUGACUAUGGAAUAUGGGCUGUUCCUAGAAGUUCUCAUGAUAAUCAAGAUUAGAGCGCAAGGCCAUUAAUACCGCUAACCUUUUAGAACCAAACUUCGUGUCAAUACUGUGUGUGACAAGUUGAAAUUUGAUCAAGGGACCUAAUUCAAGGCGUAGUCCAUUAUGGCUCCCUCAAGUAGAAACUGUCAACACCAAGUGCAGGCUCAAGUCCUGAAGACUCCUGCACCUAAUGCAAAGUAUAAUCCUCUCCUCCUUUGUAUAUCGUAUUGUUUAUUAGCAACAACUUUGAUAAAAAGGCACGCUUGAUGGAAGCUCAAUCAGUGCUACUUGUAUGAAUAACUACCAACAUUCCAAUGCUCCAGUCUUGGAACAUACUUGCUUACUUAAUCCCAUCUCAACACUUUAACACUCUUAUUGUCAUAGUCUCAUUCUUAGGCUCCAUGUCCUUUUUCUAGCUAACAUUCUCCAACUUUUUCUUCAGCUACAUAUACAUUAAAAUAUAUGAACAUGAUGCCUCUAGUAUAGCUGUUGGCAAAUUACAAAGAUCUUGGUUUCUUCUCAAAUAUCUUAUGAAGCGUCGAAUACCGGUUAAGUAUCGGUUUUCAGGAGAGUAGUGUUUGAGAUUAUUGAUUCCAGGAGGGAGGGUUAGUUUUGUUUCAGUUCUGAUGGGGUCAUAUGAGGAGGAAUGAAAAUAAUAUGGAAUACUCACUCACUAUCAAACUAGAAACUGUGGAUAACAACAAAAGGUUUCAGAAGAUUACGAAAACAUGAACAACACAGAGUAAUAUGGAAUGAAAACGUUACAAAACUAGAAACUUCAUGUGGCUGAAUACACUCACUAUCAAACUUAAGCAAGAGAGAGAGAGAGAGAAAGAGGUCCAUUUACUCCUACGCUUAUUAAAAAUUUAUUCUAAUGUAUUAUGGUUUAUAAUAUAAUGCAUGUGACAAGCAUAUUAUAUAUUAUAGAUUACAAUAUCCUUCACAUGAGAUUGUCAAAAGAACUCCCAUUACUCUAUCUCACCUAACUUGAGCAAUUAGUUUUAUAAAUAUGGUGUGUCUUGGACAGCAUCCUGUAUGACUGAUCAUUUUCUAAAUAUAUACUCACCAUUGAUAGAAAACUUAUAGAGUCCAUAGCCAUAAUUUACGUCACAUGUAUUUAUUUCCUCAUACAAGUUUUGAAAUGUUACAGGAGUUGAUUCUUUUCAAAAAUGACUAAAACUAUGCAUAUGAUAUUAGAGAAGGAAAUUUUCAAAUAAUACAACAGAUAACUAGUCCUCUUCCUAAUAAUUAAUAGAACAUAAUAUAAUGCAUCGCAAGCACUAAUAUAUAAGUUAAGCACUAAUAUUUUAAAUCUUGUUUACAAUUGUUGUUGAUAAAUAAUAAUAUUCAAUAAUUGCAAUCAAAAUUUGAGCACAAGUCUUUUAAGUUUUAAGACAAAUAAAAUGGGCCAAGCAAAAUUGAAAUAAUUUCAUUGGGCUAAUGGAUAAAAGUCUAACCUCUUUUCCAUUGUGAAAAGUAUUUAUCUUUUGUACCACCCAACUAAAUUAUGAAAUAUGAUAUCAAAGGGAAUUGCUAAAUUCACUCCACUUUCAUAGCGAGCACAUUUAACAUCUAUUACAGUUGAUAAAAAAAACAAAAACAAAAAAUCUCCCUAUUAAAUAAUAUAUCACGAAUCAGAUGCUAGAAUGAAGCAAUUGGAGACGGCAUCUUAAGUUAUGUUAGGAUAUACCAAUUUGUCACAAGGAACGAAGAAGUACUAUUUUGUUAUAAAACAUUUUAUAUGUCCAAAAUAACGGCAAAAGGGAUAUCAAGGGGAAUGCAACCUUCGGCCUUCGCUGAAGUGGGUAAAUGCCCUUAACAAAAAUAAGUUGGCAUCAAACAUUGAUCUUAAAUAGACAACUUGCCCCUCUAACUAAGUCGUUUCCAGAUUAGUGCAAACAGCUAAGUUUGAAAUGGCUAAUACAAUAAUAAUAGAUAGGACUCCUAAAAUUAUCCACUCUGAGGCAGCCAUUCAAAUAUUAUAAAUGAGACACAGGACAACUUUGGUAAAAAAAAAAUGUUAUAUACACUUUUACAAAUAGCUUAUAAAAAAGAUCAAUAGAGAAAUAAUCCACAAAAUUGAGAAAUACACAUUUUUUAUUAACUAAUUUCAAGUAAUACAUUGAAAAGUAAUUGGUACAUUGUACUUACACGCAUCACGACAAGGUAACAUGUUGGGAAAUCUAGUUCAAUGCAUCCACCAGUCUCCUAAUCUCCCUUUUUUCUACCAUUUCAACAACUCCCAUCGAAACAAGCUCGGAGUUGAGCAAAGCCACGAAUUGAAAGGGUUUUACGCUUCUCCCAGAAGAAACCGAGAAAGAAACCGCGAAAGAAAAGGCGCAGAACAGCCGGAAACGUUCAUUACCGCACGGAACCCAUAUAACCUGAGGGAGCCUGAUAAUCCGCCCCAAAAUUGGGCUCCGACUCGACUGUACGAACUGUAAAAUCACCAAACAGUAACUGUACGCACUGUACAGCAGCUCCAAACAGCAGGGGAGGCCUAACCGCAGGGAAAGAAGAGCGGCGCGUGAGGGCGCGUCCAACCUCCGAUUUGGUCGAUCUUCCUCCGGCUAUAAAGCCCCGAUCGAUUCUGACCAACCUCAAUUACAUCACACUUGAGUACUCCAACAAAAUCAGUAAUAAAAGCAUAUAAAUUGCACCACUGAAACCAAAGCCCCAAGUAGCCAAGUGAACUAUAGCUUCUUGAUCCAUGUGGCUGCUGCCUCAUUUGUAUAGAACUAGUAGUUUUGUCUGGUUGAAUCCUUUGUGACACUGAACAAGGACAAGAAGAGUAUUGUUUCUACUUUCUAGUUGGUGAUAUAUUUAAAGAGCACGCAGACGCCUGUUUUUUAGUGCUGGAGUAAUAUAUUACCAAGAAGGGUUGAUGUUUGUUUUUUGUUUUGACAUUUUCAGGUUUGUCUUAUAUAUAUAUAUAUUUGUUAAGUUAUUUUGUAAGUUGUGUGUUUGUAAGUCUUAAGUAUGAAGUAUCGGCAAAUAUCAUUCUACCGGAU